Schistosoma curassoni is the source of this 78-nucleotide non-coding RNA. Lineage: Eukaryota; Metazoa; Platyhelminthes; Trematoda; Strigeidida; Schistosomatidae. The record is from Rfam.
AGCUUUUCGAAUCCGUGCUGAGAUUUCUUCAGACACCAACCCAUUAUGGCUGAUCAAACUUCCAAGAUAAGUGAAGUU